Molecule: ribosomal RNA, 492 nt
Filed under: uncultured bacterium
Lineage: Bacteria
Description: partial 16S ribosomal RNA
Rfam family: Bacterial small subunit ribosomal RNA
Source: RNAcentral
AUUGAACGCUGGCGGCAUGCUUUACACAUGCAAGUCGAACGGUAACAGGUUAAGCUGACGAGUGGCGAACGGGUGAGUAAUGCAUCGGAACGUGCCCGGUCGUGGGGGAUAACGCAGCGAAAGCUGCGCUAAUACCGCAUACGAGCUGAUGAUGAAAGCGGGGGACCGUAAGGCCUCGCGCGAUCGUAGCGGACGAUGUCAGAGUAGGUAGUUGGUGGGGUAAAGGCUCACCAAGCCGACGAUCCGUAGCUGGUCUGAGAGGACGACCAGCCACACUGGGACUGAGACACGGCCCAGACUCCUACGGGAGGCAGCAGUGGGGAAUUUUGGACAAUGGGCGCAAGCCUGAUCCAGCAAUGCCGCGUGCAGAAGAAGGCCUUCGGGUUGUAAACUGCUUUUGUACGGAGCGAAAAGGCUCUCUCUAAUACAGGGGGCUCAUGACGGUACCGUAAGAAUAAGCACCGGCUAACUACGUGCCAGCCGCCGCCGUAA